RNAcentral lists this long non-coding RNA (1203 nucleotides) under Malus domestica (apple). RNAcentral's name for it is "long non-coding RNA (MDOM_LNC005447)". Lineage: Eukaryota; Viridiplantae; Streptophyta; Magnoliopsida; Rosales; Rosaceae. The record is from RNAcentral.
CUAUGACAAUAUUUAGGGACACACUAUUCAGUACCCAAAAUAGGAUAAUACUUUGUUAUUUGGGCACUGAAUAGAGAGUACCCAAUUUACUGAUGAUUUUUUCUGGCCCAAUAAUUUUAAAACACCUGGCAUUUCAACUCUUUCAAUAUUUGGCUAUCUCUGUAACCAAACACCUCUCUUAUUCUCCAUCUUCUUUCCUUGCCCAGCCCAAUCCCGCUAUUUCUCCGGCGACCAUGGCUUCACUUUUGUUGAUGCCAUGGCAGAUCCACCAAAGGUUCUCCGUCUGCCCAACCACCCAUGUCUCUUAUCCCUUGUCAUCAAAAUCUGUUACAGGUUGACCAAUUUUUUUGUCGAAAUCACUUGCUGAUUGAUGUUGCAGAGAAUUUGGAGAAGUGGACGGGGUUCAGAUGGACGGAGGAGAGAUGGAUAGAGUGGAGGUGUGCCGCUAUGGUAGACGGUUGGAAGAGUGGGGAUGACGGUUGGACAAGGGAGCGGAGAUGGAGUCGACGAUUGGAGGAAAUAAGUUGGAGGCGGGUGGUUGGGACGAAGCAGAACGACGUGGCAUGGCAAGGAAAGAAGAUGGAGAAGAAGAGGAGGUGCAGUGAGUACCCAAGUAUUAUCGCCCAAAAAAUACUGACCUAGUAAAUGGCUACUAGUAUUGCAACACCUGUCCAUUUAAUAUUCAUAACCAAACACCAAUCCCACUUUGUACACGUAACCAAACACCCUUUUCAGUUUUCUCUUAGCCGUGUCGUUGCAAACCUGAUCAGCCUCGCCUUUUUCCAUGUCAAUCGAAACAAAACCUUCCAUAGAACCAUUCCAUAAUUCGCUGCCACCUUCCUCCGCCGCUGCCAUGGCUGCCACGAGAAAGAAGGGGACAUAUUGGGGCCGGAGUCGAUGGUAGAGACGGGGUGGGAACGAUGGAGGGGCGGGGUUGGGUCGACGGAGGAGACAGGGUGGUGGGAACAACAGAGGCAAGGGUUGAAGGAAGAGAGGGAUUGACUAGGACUUCCAAGAAGAAAGAAGAUGGGGCUUGGUUAUCCACAUAGCAAGAGACAGAUGUUACAAUAUUAUUGGUCCAUGAGUAUUUUGUUACUAGUUAGUCAGUACCCAAGUAUUAUCCUUCAUGGAAUUACAAGAAUUACACGUGUCUUAAUUUUACUAGUCCAUGUAAGUGUGCAGUAAUAUUUGGGUAUUGAUUGG